Gasterosteus aculeatus aculeatus (three-spined stickleback) is the source of this 1112-nucleotide long non-coding RNA. Lineage: Eukaryota; Metazoa; Chordata; Actinopteri; Perciformes; Gasterosteidae. The record is from Ensembl.
GUUAGAAGCCUGGCAGUGUAGAGAAAGGGAGAGUGCUUGUGUGUGAUGGUGAGUAUAACGUUUGCAGUUACGCUAUAGUUAUCACCAUAGCGACGUGUGUCUAUCUGAUUUACUUAGUAUAUGUUGGGUAAAAAUGCCACAACAAGCACAUCUCUCGGGUUUUGUUGGAGUUGUUGCACUUAGUGGUCAAACUCGGUAUGCCGGUCCAGUGUUUGGCUCUAUAUUAAACUGGUUUGAAAAUGUUUACACCUAAUCCAACAAAUCAAUGUGUUGAUGUGUGACAAAAAAAGAUCUGCGGCUGUAUUCACAAAGACUCUCAGAGAGCUCCAAGCUUGAACCUAACAUUUUUGGCAAGGACUCAUAGGAUGAAGGAAAUGUUUCAGAGAAACUCAUAGCAAGGAAAGGACAGCAACCUUUACCGUAGUCAGGAGGCGUGGUUCACCCCGUUGCAAGGUGUAUUACGCAUUCUUUAGAUGUGGUUGAUUGGGGGAAAAAAUAGGGGUAUCUCUUAAAACUAGGAGCCAUUAUCAGAAAAAGUUUUACGUCGGGUCAAAAACGGGCAGAAGUCAAACACAGAAAGCGUCAAGUUUACAUUCAAAUAGGCCAAGAACAGAUACAUGUCGUAGUAAAGAUUAUAGGUGGUUUGUUUGGCAUUUCUGUACAUAUUUCUGAAGCCACCCACGGUGCCUUAACUGCCUUAAUUUUUAGCAUUAGUCACUUAAUUCAUAGGGAGAAUGAGUUAACCCCGUUGUGGGUUGACUCAUACAAAUCUCAUAUCUCGGUUUGAAUAGCACAUAAACAAAAUUGUUAAAACGUUGGCUGGAUUGGCUCUGCGACAUGUAAACACCUCAGGCGGUUUUAGUUUUUUCAACAUUGACACAAAUAUGUAACUACUGAUCAUCACAGUAGCUAUAGGGACUAUUUGUUUCCCCUACAGGGACUAUUUGUUUAAAUGUAUUCAGGAGGAUUGCAGCUUUUUUGUUUGUUCUCUGUUUGAGAUCAUAUCUAUGUAUUUCUCUGCCACUUUCCCGCUUGUUCCCUCUCAUCACUCCCCUCCCCUAUUUCCCCAUGGACAGCAUUAAAAAGUAUGAUAAAUUUGUCAAAGGGAAACA